Molecule: long non-coding RNA, 3021 nt
Filed under: Sus scrofa (pig)
Lineage: Eukaryota; Metazoa; Chordata; Mammalia; Artiodactyla; Suidae
Description: lncRNA (ENSSSCG00000058374.1)
Source: RNAcentral
UUUUUUUUUUUUUUUUUGGUCUGUCUUUUUUUAGGGCUGCACUCAGGCCAUAUGGACCCAGGCUAGGGGUCCAAUAGGAACUGUAGCCGCUGGCCCAUGCCUGAGCCAUAGCAAUAUGGGAUCUGAGCCAUGUCUGUGACUUGCACCACAGCUCACAGCAAUGCCACCGGAUCCUUAUCCCAUGUCCUCAUGGAUGCUAGUCGGGUUUGCUAACUGCUGAGCCAGGACGGGAACUACCCUUUGUAUCUUUUUCUCCCCUAUUCUCUAAAUGACCUUAGACCAAUUCCUAUUGGUCUCAAAGAUAUAAUUUCUCCACCCCAGCUAGAUAGCUGGCUUCAUAUUUCAGUCCCCAAAAUGAUUAUCUCCAACACUCUGUAUUGGAUUUGCUAAAAUAACUAUGAAAGCUUCCCAAGGAAACAAUGUAGCUGUGGGAACUGGGCAGACGAGAGGAAGAAGUUCCCUUUCAAGAUAUUUAUAAUUCAAAGAAUGACCUCUGUUGACCUGCUACCCAGAAUUAACCUUCCCUUCUAAGUCAUGAGAGUUGACUUUCCUAUUGUUUUAAAUGCCACUCCUUUCUCCCUGAAGACAUCUCCGAAAGACUUGUCUUUCAAAGAGUCUAACAUACAAGGUUUUAUUUUUGCACUCCAGACCUCAGUGUCCAAGAACACUUUUCAUCACUCAAUUUAUUCUGGUUGAACAAGUUCACACACAUGCUAUUCUACAAGAUUACCAAGGCAAGUUAGUGACUUCAGACUGAGAAACAUGCUUUAAAGGUGCAAAUAUUAUAUAUUUUAGAUAUGCAUCAAUAGGCUGGAAUGGUAAGACUCCUGGAAGUCUAUAAAAUUCAGCACGGAGGAAAAACAAAAAAGGUAUGCACCGAGUUUUCAUUUGAAACAUACAACUCAUUCUUACAAUUCCAUAUUUCCAGAUUUCUUAGUCCUAGUUCCUUGGGCUUAUAUGAAAAUGCUCUCCUGCUACCUCAUGGGAAUAUGUGCAUUCUAACCAAAUAAUUUCAGGGCUUCUCAAAGGCUGAGGGAGAUCCACGCUGCCUCCAUUAUUUUUGAGGUUCCCAGUUAUAUUAACCUUUUUUUUAAAAUGCUAAAAUAAAGUUGGAAAAUUGGCAAAAAUAAAAAAGAUAGUUUACAAAUUGGUUAAACAUUUGCAUUUUAACAAUUGAUGCCUUUAACCCACAAAAAUUACAACACACGACAGUUAUGCUAGUCAAUAGAUAAUUACAAGAUUUAAUUUAGGAGUCCCCUUCCUGGCUCAGUGGAAACAAAUCUGACUAGUAUCCAUGAGGAUGCAAGUUCUAUCUCUGGCCUAGCUCAGUGGGUUAAGGAUCCGGUGUUGCUGUGAGCUGUGCUGAAGGUCGCAGACAUAGCUUGGAUCUGGUGUUGCUGUGGUAUAGGCCAGCAGCUACAGCUCCGAUUCCACCCUCAGUCUGGGAAGCUCCACAUGCCAUGGGUGUGGCCCUAAAAAAAGACAACCCCCCCCCAAAAAAAACAAAAAAAAAACCCGACUAAAUUAAAAAAAUCCAUGGUACACUAAAGAUGAUGUAGUUUAGUCAGGGAUCUCAAUUUUCAAUAUCUAAGGGGGUGUCUUCUUUCAAUCCCAUCAGAAUGUCUUUGUGUAACUUCCUUUGGAGGUAUGUCAAAAGCCUAAAUUUUAGGCCCUUUAUAAAUGUGGGGCCUGAGCUAGGGGGCCUUCCAGUUGUAUUCCCUCUCCUCCUCCUCCUCUCCCUCAAAUUAUUAUUUAGUAAUACAUCAUGAAAUAACGAUGGCCAUCAUCAAGUCUUAUCUGAAGCAGCGGUGUAAAGAAAAACUGAAUAAUCCUAGCUGGGGUAAAUGCAAUAAAGGGCAAAUUCUAAGGGCAGUUUCUACCCCACAUGCUGAAGCCUAGGUUUUUCUGAGCUAAUUUUUAUAGCUAUCAGUUUGAUAUGUCUUGUUUAGAUUUCAAGCUCCUUACAGAGAAACUCUAUCUUGAGCUCUUGCUAAAAAUGGUAAUUGAUUUGGUGAUUCCUAUUUAAACUGUUUAAGAUUUAAACCGAAAAACAAUUUCCAUUUAUGAUAGGGGCAACACGAACGUUUACAUAUGCACAUUUAUAGAUGUGAGACUAUCCUGAACUCCAUGCUUCUGAACACAGGCACCAUCGUUGUUAGCUAACAUAUAAUACACAUAUACCUACAGACAUAAGGAAAUAUCAUUCACUCAAGUCUUUGAUUUCAAAAAUCUUGCCUUUGAUUUCAAAAAUCUUGUCUCAGUUUUAGUAGCACAGAAAAGACAUUCGACCAUCUGCAUAUGAUUUGUAGCUGAAACCACUCUUUUGUGUAGACAAGUUGGCUGCUCCAUGGUGUCAACUGAAACCAGACAGAGCUGGACUUGGAGCAUCCAGCCGUCUUGCCCUGGGAACGACUGGGUCAGUGUGUCAUGGAAGAGAGAGUGUGGAUGGUGCCGCAAGACCCUCAAAGCGGCAACAGGAAGGUCUAUGGAUGGACUGUACUCUUUCUAAGAGGCUGGGGAAUCUCACCAUAACCUCAUCUGCUUCAGGUCAGCCCAGCUGGAAAGUGGAUUAGUGAAGCUUAGGCCCAGCUGGAAAGUGGAUUAGUGAAGGUUAAGCAGCCUGGGUCUGAAGGGGAGCUUCUCCUUUUUGUGAGCCAAGCGGAGAUGUCAUUUCAGCAGAGGUGGCAAAAGAGGGCAGGGAACGGAGUGUUCAGAGAAUAAAGGGAAUUGACAAAUACAAUCUCCUAUUAAACACAGAGAAAAACCAUUCUGAAUGUCAGCUUUUCCCUUGAUAUAUUUAACAGUUUAUUAAAGUAAUGGCUAUUCAUUAAUGUUCCUUUUAAAAGUUACACAUUUUUAAAACUUUUUUUGCUCAGAGUUCCUGUCGUGGCACAGUGGGAACGAAUCUGAUUAGGAACCAUGAGGUUGAAGGUUCGAUCCCUGGCCUUGCUCAGUGGGUUAAGGAUCCUGCAUUGCUGUGGCUGUGGUGUAGGUCGGCAGCUGUAGCUCUGAUUCGACCCC